Molecule: transfer RNA, 74 nt
Filed under: Tachysurus fulvidraco (yellow catfish)
Lineage: Eukaryota; Metazoa; Chordata; Actinopteri; Siluriformes; Bagridae
Description: tRNA-Lys
Rfam family: tRNA
About the family: Transfer RNA (tRNA) molecules are approximately 80 nucleotides in length. Their secondary structure includes four short double-helical elements and three loops (D, anti-codon, and T loops). Further hydrogen bonds mediate the characteristic L-shaped molecular structure. tRNAs have two regions of fundamental functional importance: the anti-codon, which is responsible for specific mRNA codon recognition, and the 3' end, to which the tRNAs corresponding amino acid is attached (by aminoacyl-tRNA synthetases). tRNAs cope with the degeneracy of the genetic code in two manners: having more than one tRNA (with a specific anti-codon) for a particular amino acid; and 'wobble' base-pairing, i.e. permitting non-standard base-pairing at the 3rd anti-codon position.
Source: RNAcentral
CACUAGGAAGCUAAAUAGGGUUUAGCGUUAGCCUUUUAAGCUAAAGAUUGGUGACCCCCAACCAUCUCUAGUGA